CCUACGGGAGGCAGCAGUCGAGAAUCAUUGACAAUGGGGGAAACCCUGAUGGUGCGACGCCGCGUGGGGGAAUGAAGGUCUUCGGAUUGUAAACCCCUGUCAUGUGGGCGCAAAUUAAAAAGAUAGUACCACAAGAGGAAGCGACGGCUAACUCUGUGCCAGCAGCCGCGGUAAUACAGAGGGCUCAAGCGUUGUUCGGAAUCACUGGGCGUAAAGCGUGCGUAGGCGGUUUCGUAAGUCGUGUGUGAAAGUCGCGGGCUCAACCCGGGAACGGCACAUGAUACUGCAAGACUAGAGUGAUGGAGGGGGAAGCGGAAUUCUCGGUGUAGCAGUGAAAUGCGUAGAUAUAGGGAGGAACACUAGUGGCGAAGGCGGGUUCCUGGACAUUAACUGACGCUGAGGCGCGAAGGCCAGGGGAGCGAAAGGGAUUAGAUACCCCUGUAGUC
This 446-nucleotide ribosomal RNA is filed under the name uncultured bacterium. Its description in RNAcentral is "partial 16S ribosomal RNA". It matches the Rfam family "Bacterial small subunit ribosomal RNA", at positions 338 to 795 of the family's 1533-position model. The record is from RNAcentral.